UGCCGCCCUCAGUCCUGGGGGCGAUGUUUCCAUAGCCUGUAGAUGUGGGGGGAGAAGACAAGAACUUAUUUAAUCGUUAUAAAACAAACCACUCUAGAUGACCCCCUCUAUUUAAACCACAUUCAUAUAUCCAGAGGGAGACAAUUGGUGGCUUCCACCGAGAGAACAUGGCAGUAAUUACAGACUGCUGAACAAAAGGGAAGUUAAGACAAGGACAGACUAAACAAUUUCGGUCAGAGAGGAGAUCUGAGCUCAAAGUUCUGCAGAAAUAUUCUUGAAGUGAUGACGGUUCCAGCGAAGAAGAACGCGCUGCUGAGGUCCCAGUGGCUGGAGUUAUUGGACGUGUCUCCAAUGGGACUCACUCCAGCACUGACCGCGUCUACUGCAUGCUGGAAAAGAUGCACACAAGAGAGAAACACUCAAAAAGCCAUUUUGGAAGUGCUUCAUUGACAGAAUCGCUGAGCAUCCUGCAGGUGGGAAGAUUUUUGAGUCAGUCCUGCUCACGGCCAAGAACACCGACAACAGCCAUCUGGUCUCGCAUGACAGGACAGAGACAUGUCCACAUGACAGACUGAGUUUAAAGGCUUUUUUGAGCUGAAUCUUCAGUAUGAUGUUGCUUCACGUGCCCUACAAAGUGCUUGUUU
Long non-coding RNA from Cyprinus carpio (common carp), 644 nucleotides. RefSeq lists it as uncharacterized. The transcript is spliced from 3 exons. The record is from RefSeq and is a predicted model, not a curated record. Lineage: Eukaryota; Metazoa; Chordata; Actinopteri; Cypriniformes; Cyprinidae.